Non-coding RNA from Phlebotomus papatasi, 297 nucleotides. The record is from Rfam. NCBI's taxonomy places the organism in Eukaryota, Metazoa, Arthropoda, Insecta, Diptera, Psychodidae.
ACCGAGAGUCUGGCAGCUCUUGUAAUCCGUGCUACUCGGAGGUUGGAUUAUGGAUUGAUUUGAGGUCGGGGGUUCUGUGUACUGGACGGGUCAUGUUGACGGGACGUCCGCACUAAGCUCGCCAUCAAUAUGGGCGCCAUGGCGGAGGCCGAGGCGUUCAGGUUGGCUAAGGAGGGGCGCACCGGGCCAGAGGUGAAAACCAGCAGCCAAAAGUCCCCGUGGUCAGCAGUAGUGGGAUCGCGUCCCGGAGUGAGCUCCCAGUAUCAGCCCGAUCAAUAGAAUCAUACCAUAAUCUUU